This 487-nucleotide ribosomal RNA is filed under the name uncultured Nitrososphaerota archaeon. RNAcentral's name for it is "bacterial SSU rRNA". It matches the Rfam family "Archaeal small subunit ribosomal RNA", at positions 325 to 813 of the family's 1478-position model. The record is from RNAcentral. Lineage: Archaea; Thermoproteati; Nitrososphaerota.
ACGGGGUGCAGCAGGCGCGAAACCUUUGCAAUGUGCGAAAGCACGACAAGGUUAAUCCGAGUGUCUCCCGCUAAGGGAGUCUUUUGUCAGUUCUAGAACCACUGGUGAAUAAGGGGUGGGCAAGUUCUGGUGUCAGCCGCCGCGGUAAAACCAGCACCUCGAGUGGUCAGGAGGUUUAUUGGGCCUAAAGCAUCCGUAGCCGGUUGCAUAAGUUUUCGGUUAAAUCUAUGCGCUCAACGUAUAGGCCGCCGAAAAUACUGUGCAGCUAGGGAGUGGGAGAGGUACACGGUACUCAAUAGGAAGGGGUAAAAUCCUUUGAUCUAUUGAUGACCACCUGUGGCGAAGGCGGUGUACCAGAACGCGUUCGACGGUGAGGGAUGAAAGCUGGGGGAGCAAACCGGAUUAGAUACCCGGGUAGUCCCAGCUGUAAACGAUGCAGACUCGGUGAUGCAUUGGCUUGUGGCCAAUGCAGUGCCGCAGGGAAGCC